Long non-coding RNA from Coffea arabica (coffee), 173 nucleotides. RefSeq lists it as uncharacterized. NCBI's taxonomy places the organism in Eukaryota, Viridiplantae, Streptophyta, Magnoliopsida, Gentianales, Rubiaceae. The record is from RefSeq and is a predicted model, not a curated record.
CUCACCAAAUAUGUGUCAGCUCACGGGCCUGUGGUACUUUGAUGUCCGAAACAACAGCUUGACUGGUUCUAUUCCAGAGAAUAUUGGAAAUUGUACAGCCUUCCAGGUUUUGGAUUUGUCGUAUAAUCAGUUGACUGGUGAGAUUCCCUUCAAUAUCGGUUUCUUGCAAGUGG